Molecule: ribosomal RNA, 253 nt
Filed under: uncultured bacterium
Lineage: Bacteria
Description: partial 16S ribosomal RNA
Rfam family: Bacterial small subunit ribosomal RNA
Source: RNAcentral
UACGGGGGGGGCAAGCGUUGUUCGGAAUUACUGGGCGUAAAGGGCUCGUAGGCGGCCUUCUAAGUCGAACGUGAAAUCCCCGGGCUCAACCCGGGAACUGCGUCCGAUACUGGGAGGCUUGAAUCCGGGAGAGGGAUGUGGAAUUCCAGGUGUAGCGGUGAAAUGCGUAGAUAUCUGGAGGAACACCGGUGGCGAAGGCGGCAUCCUGGACCGGUAUUGACGCUGAGGCGCGAAAGCCAGGGGAGCAAACGGG